CUAGCGACUUCAGAGUUUGAUCCUGGCGUCAGGAUGAACGCUGGCGGCGUGCCUAACACAUAGCAAGUCGAACGAAGCACUCUUGUUGAUCCUUCGGGUGAUACUUUAGUGACUGAGUGGCGGACGGGUGAGUAACGCGUGGGUAACCUGCCCUGUACAGGGGGAUAACAGUCAGAAAUGACUGCUAAUACCGCAUAAGCGCACGAGAGGACAUCCUCUAGUGUGAAAAAACUCCGGUGGUACAGGAUGGGCCCGCGUCUGAUUAGCUAGUUGGCGGGGUAAUAGCCCACCAAGGCGACGAUCAGUAGCCGGUCUGAGAGGAUGAACGGCCACAUUGGAACUGAGACACGGUCCAA
This 356-nucleotide ribosomal RNA is filed under the name uncultured bacterium. RNAcentral's name for it is "bacterial SSU rRNA". It matches the Rfam family "Bacterial small subunit ribosomal RNA", at positions 1 to 334 of the family's 1533-position model. The record is from RNAcentral.